RNAcentral lists this ribosomal RNA (1010 nucleotides) under Shigella flexneri. RNAcentral describes it as "partial 23S ribosomal RNA". It matches the Rfam family "Bacterial large subunit ribosomal RNA", at positions 536 to 1549 of the family's 2925-position model. Lineage: Bacteria; Pseudomonadati; Pseudomonadota; Gammaproteobacteria; Enterobacterales; Enterobacteriaceae. The record is from RNAcentral.
GAGUGAAAAAGAACCUGAAACCGUGUACGUACAAGCAGUGGGAGCGCGCUUAGGCGUGUGACUGCGUACCUUUUGUAUAAUGGGUCAGCGACUUAUAUUCUGUAGCAAGGUUAACCGAAUAGGGGAGCCGAAGGGAAACCGAGUCUUAACUGGGCGUUAAGUUGCAGGGUAUAGACCCGAAACCCGGUGAUCUAGCCAUGGGCAGGUUGAAGGUUGGGUAACACUAACUGGAGGACCGAACCGACUAAUGUUGAAAAAUUAGCGGAUGACUUGUGGCUGGGGGUGAAAGGCCAAUCAAACCGGGAGAUAGCUGGUUCUCCCCGAAAGCUAUUUAGGUAGCGCCUCGUGAAUUCAUCUCCGGGGGUAGAGCACUGUUUCGGCAAGGGGGUCAUCCCGACUUACCAACCCGAUGCAAACUGCGAAUACCGGAGAAUGUUAUCACGGGAGACACACGGCGGGUGCUAACGUCCGUCGUGAAGAGGGAAACAACCCAGACCGCCAGCUAAGGUCCCAAAGUCAUGGUUAAGUGGGAAACGAUGUGGGAAGGCCCAGACAGCCAGGAUGUUGGCUUAGAAGCAGCCAUCAUUUAAAGAAAGCGUAAUAGCUCACUGGUCGAGUCGGCCUGCGCGGAAGAUGUAACGGGGCUAAACCAUGCACCGAAGCUGCGGCAGCGACGCUUAUGCGUUGUUGGGUAGGGGAGCGUUCUGUAAGCCUGUGAAGGUGUGCUGUGAGGUAUGCUGGAGGUAUCAGAAGUGCGAAUGCUGACAUAAGUAACGAUAAAGCGGGUGAAAAGCCCGCUCGCCGGAAGACCAAGGGUUCCUGUCCAACGUUAAUCGGGGCAGGGUGAGUCGACCCCUAAGGCGAGGCCGAAAGGCGUAGUCGAUGGGAAACAGGUUAAUAUUCCUGUACUUGGUGUUACUGCGAAGGGGGGACGGAGAAGGCUAUGUUGGCCGGGCGACGGUUGUCCCGGUUUAAGCGUGUAGGCUGGUUUUCCAGGCAAAUCCGGAAAA